This 429-nucleotide ribosomal RNA is filed under the name Bacteroidota bacterium. RNAcentral's name for it is "Bacteroidetes bacterium partial 16S ribosomal RNA". It matches the Rfam family "Bacterial small subunit ribosomal RNA", at positions 355 to 776 of the family's 1533-position model. Lineage: Bacteria; Pseudomonadati; Bacteroidota. The record is from RNAcentral.
UAGGGAAUCUUCCGCAAUGGACGCAAGUCUGACGGAGCAACGCCGCGUGAGUGAAGAAGGAUUUCGGUUCGUAAAACUCUGUUGUUAGAGAAGAACAGCGCAUAGAGUAACUGUUAUGCGUGUGACGGUAUCUAACCAGAAAGCCACGGCUAACUACGUGCCAGCAGCCGCGGUAAUACGUAGGUGGCAAGCGUUGUCCGGAUUUAUUGGGCGUAAAGCGAGCGCAGGCGGUCAAUUAAGUCUGAUGUGAAAGCCCCCGGCUCAACCGGGGAGGGUCAGUGGAAACUGGUUGACUUGGGGGCAGAAGGGGAGAGUGGAAUUCCAUGUGUAGCGGUGAAAUGCGUAGAUAUAUGGAGGAACACCAGUGGCGAAGGCGACUCUCUGGUCUGUAACUGACACUGAGGCUCAAAAGCGUGGGUAGCAAACAGG